This 1086-nucleotide ribosomal RNA is filed under the name uncultured Campylobacterota bacterium. Its description in RNAcentral is "bacterial SSU rRNA". It matches the Rfam family "Bacterial small subunit ribosomal RNA", at positions 342 to 1454 of the family's 1533-position model. Lineage: Bacteria; Pseudomonadati; Campylobacterota. The record is from RNAcentral.
CGGGAGGCAGCAGUGGGGAAUAUGCACAAUGGAGGAAACUCUGAUGCAGCAACGCGCGUGGAGGAUGACGCAUUUCGGUGUGUAAACUCCUUUUAUAUGGGAAGAUAAUGACGGUACCAUAUGAAUAAGCACCGGCUAACUCCGUGCCAGCAGCCGCGGUAAUACGGAGGGUGCAAGCGUUACUCGGAAUCACUGGGCGUAAAGCGCGCGCAGGCGGCUAUUUAAGUUGGAUGUGAAAGCCUACAGCUCAACUGUAGAACUGCAUCCAAAACUAUUUAGCUAGAGUGUGGGAGAGGAAGAUGGAAUUAGUUGUGUAGGGGUAAAAUCCGUAGAGAUAACUAGGAAUACCAAAAGCGAAGGCAAUCUUCUGGAACACUACUGACGCUGAGGCGCGAAGGCGUGGGGAGCAAACAGGAUUAGAUACCCUGGUAGUCCACGCAGUAAACGAUGAAUGUUAGUCGUCGGGUAGCUAGUCUAUUCGGUGAUGCAGCUAACGCAUUAAACAUUCCGCCUGGGGAGUACGGUCGCAAGAUUAAAACUCAAAGGAAUAGACGGGGACCCGCACAAGUGGUGGAGCAUGUGGUUUAAUUCGAAGAUACGCGAAGAACCUUACCUAGCCUUGACAUAUAUUAGAACAUUUUAGAGAUAAGAUGGUGCCUUCGGGAGCUUUUAUACAGGUGCUGCACGGCUGUCGUCAGCUCGUGUCGUGAGAUGUUGGGUUAAGUCCCGCAACGAGCGCAACCCUCGUCACUAGUUACUAACGGUUCGGCCGAGGACUCUAGUGAGACUGCCUUCGUAAGGAGGAGGAAGGUGAGGACGACGUCAAGUCAUCAUGGCCCUUACGGCUAGGGCAACACACGUGCUACAAUGGUUGGGACAAUGAGACGCGAUACCGCGAGGUGGAGCAAAUCUAUAAACCCAAUCUCAGUUCGGAUUGUAGUCUGCAACUCGACUACAUGAAGCUGGAAUCACUAGUAAUCGUAGAUCAGCUAUGCUACGGUGAAUACGUUCCCGGGUCUUGUACUCACCGCCCGUCACACCAUGGGAGUCGAUUUCACCCGAAGCGGGGAAGCUAAACUGGCUACC